RNAcentral lists this ribosomal RNA (117 nucleotides) under Jaculus jaculus (lesser Egyptian jerboa). The record is from RNAcentral. Lineage: Eukaryota; Metazoa; Chordata; Mammalia; Rodentia; Dipodidae.
GUCUGAGGUCAUACCACCCUGAACAUACCUGAUCUCGUCUGAUACAGAAGCUAAGCAGGGAUGGGCUUGGUUAGAAUGUGGAUGGGAGAACUCAUAGCAGACCCAGCUCCCUCGUCA